RNAcentral lists this ribosomal RNA (465 nucleotides) under uncultured bacterium. RNAcentral's name for it is "partial 16S ribosomal RNA". It matches the Rfam family "Bacterial small subunit ribosomal RNA", at positions 338 to 795 of the family's 1533-position model. The record is from RNAcentral.
CCUACGGGUGGCAGCAGUGGGGAAUAUUGCGCAAUGGGCGAAAGCCUGACGCAGCGACGCCGCGUGAGGGAUGAAGGUCCUCGGAUCGUAAACCUCUGUCAGCAGGGAAGAACGGUCACUGUACUAAUCAGCAGUGAAUUGACGGUACCUGCAAAGGAAGCACCGGCUAACUCCGUGCCAGCAGCCGAGGUAAUACGGAGGGUGCGAGCGUUAAUCGGAAUUACUGGGCGUAAAGCGCUCGUAGGCGGUAUGUCAAGUCAAGGGGGAAAUCCCCGCGCUCAACGUGGGAACUGCCUUUGAAACUGGCAAACUGGAGUGUGAGAGAGGAUAGUGGAAUUCCAGGUGUAGGAGUGAAAUCCGUAGAUAUCUGGAGGAACAUCAGUGGCGAAGGCGACUAUCUGGCACAUAACUGACGCUGAGGAGCGAAAGCGUGGGUAGCAAACAGGAUUAGAUACCCUAGUAGUC